Stegastes partitus (bicolor damselfish) is the source of this 95-nucleotide long non-coding RNA. RefSeq lists it as uncharacterized. The transcript is spliced from 3 exons. NCBI's taxonomy places the organism in Eukaryota, Metazoa, Chordata, Actinopteri, Pomacentridae. The record is from RefSeq and is a predicted model, not a curated record.
AACUGCACAAGUUUGUCAGUAACUACAUUUUAAAAUAUUCAUUUAACAGUUAAAGCAAAUUAGACUGAUUGUAAAUAAUAACAAGUAUGUUUUAU